GGUACUGUGGCUCAAGUGGUAGAGUGCUUGCUUUGCAUGAAUGAAGCCCUGGGUUCGAUUCCUCAGUAUCA
RNAcentral lists this transfer RNA (71 nucleotides) under Dipodomys ordii (Ord's kangaroo rat). It matches the Rfam family "tRNA". Rfam says of the family: Transfer RNA (tRNA) molecules are approximately 80 nucleotides in length. Their secondary structure includes four short double-helical elements and three loops (D, anti-codon, and T loops). Lineage: Eukaryota; Metazoa; Chordata; Mammalia; Rodentia; Heteromyidae. The record is from Rfam by way of RNAcentral.